Molecule: small nuclear RNA, 107 nt
Organism: Otolemur garnettii (small-eared galago)
Lineage: Eukaryota; Metazoa; Chordata; Mammalia; Primates; Galagidae
Source: Ensembl
AUGCUCACUUCAGCAGCAUAAAUACUAAAAUUGGAGUGAUACAGAAAAGAUUAGCAGGGCCUCAAUGCAAGGAUGACCUGCAAAUUCAUGAAGUGUUUCACAGUUUU